ACUAUUCUCUGUCUCUAGCCGAUCAAUUUUAUUCUGCAUCCUGUUCAUUGUUUCAAUUGUAGGAGGAUCCACUGGGGGUGCAGACGUGUAUGAUGCAGAACAAUGAGAUGGCUCAUGAAAAUAUGCUGAGGCCUGGGACCCUAACCCAUAAACUCGACUCUUUUUCUGUCCGCCAACCGCUUCGUAGUACAGUUGGGCCUCAUUUAUGGGCGUCGGCUCAUUGCUUCCCUCCUGUUGAUGUGUAGCAGCCUCCUUCAGUUGUACGUAUUUAUCCUGCAUUAUAAAUUUAAAGUAACAUAUAAGUAAAACAAUUUAAGUCAAUCAAAAUUGUUAAUAACUACAUUUAAGAUGAACUUACAUAAAUAGCUUUUGAUCUCGCAUCAACAAACUCCUCCGUUCCCUUUCUCUUAUG
This 412-nucleotide long non-coding RNA is filed under the name Manihot esculenta (cassava). RNAcentral describes it as "long non-coding RNA (MESC_LNC006429)". The record is from RNAcentral. Lineage: Eukaryota; Viridiplantae; Streptophyta; Magnoliopsida; Malpighiales; Euphorbiaceae.